AGGGUUAUAGUUAAUUAUAACAUUUAAUUUGCAUUUAAAAAGUAUUGAAAAAAAAUCAAUUUACCUU
Molecule: transfer RNA, 67 nt
Filed under: Coleoptera sp. 7 KM-2017
Lineage: Eukaryota; Metazoa; Arthropoda; Insecta; Coleoptera
Description: tRNA-Ala
Source: RNAcentral